UGCCCUUCACUACGGAAUAGCCUCUGGAAACGGAGAGUAAUACCGUAUGCGCCCUUCGGGGAAAGAUUUAUCGGUGAAGGAUUAGCCCGCGUCUGAUUAGAUAGUUGGUGGGGUAACGGCCUACCAAGUCGACGAUCAGUAGCUGGUUUGAGAGGAUGAUCAGCAACACUGGGACUGAGACACGGCCCAGACUCCUACGGGAGGCAGCAGUGGGGAAUCUUAGACAAUGGGCGCAAGUGAUCUAGCCAUGCCGCGUGAGUGACGAAGGCCUUAGGGUCGUAAAGCUCUUUCGCCAGGGAUGAUAAUGACAGUACCUGGUAAAGAAACCCCGGCUAACUCCGUGCCAGCAGCCGCGGUAAUACGGAGGGGGUUAGCGUUGUUCGGAAUUACUGGGCGUAAAGCGCGCGUAGGGGAUUGGAAAGUUGGGGGUGAAAUCCCGGGGCUCAACCCCGAACUGCCUCCAAAACUAUCAGUCUAGAGUUCGAGAGAGGUGAGUGGAAUUCCAAGUGUAGAGGUGAAAUUCGUAGAUAUUUGGAGGAACACCAGUGGCGAAGGGGCUCACUGGCUCGAUACUGACGCUGAGGUGCGAAAGUGUGGGGAGCAAACAGGAUUAGAUACCCUGGUAGUCCACACCGUAAACGAUGAAUGCCAGACGUCGGGGGGCUUGCCUUCGGUGUCACACCUAACGGAUUAAGCAUUCCGCCUGGGGAGUACGGUCGCAAGAUUAAAACUCAAAGG
Molecule: ribosomal RNA, 738 nt
Filed under: uncultured bacterium
Lineage: Bacteria
Description: bacterial SSU rRNA
Rfam family: Bacterial small subunit ribosomal RNA
Source: RNAcentral